Molecule: ribosomal RNA, 253 nt
Filed under: uncultured bacterium
Lineage: Bacteria
Description: partial 16S ribosomal RNA
Rfam family: Bacterial small subunit ribosomal RNA
Source: RNAcentral
UACGUAGGGGGCUAGCGUUGUCCGGAAUCAUUGGGCGUAAAGCGCGUGUAGGCGGCCCGGUAAGUCCGCUGUGAAAGUCCAGGGCUCAACCCUGGGAUGCCGGUGGAUACUGUCGGGCUCGAGUCCGGAAGAGGCGAGUGGAAUUCCUGGUGUAGCGGUGAAACGCGCAGAUAUCAGGAGGAACACCAAUGGCGAAGGCAGCUCGCUGGGACGUGACUGACGCUGAGACGCGAAAGCGUGGGGAGCAAACAGG